UCCGGUUUGUCACCGGCAGUCUCGCAUGAGUUUUCGGUAUAUGUCAAGCCUUGGUAAGGUUCUUCGCGUUGCGUCGAAUUAAGCCACAUGCUCCGCCGCUUGUGCGGGCCCCCGUCAAUUCCUUUGAGUUUUAGCCUUGCGGCCGUACUCCCCAGGCGGGGCGCUUAAUGCGUUAGCUGCGGCACGGAGAACGUGGAAGGUUCCCCACACCUAGCGCCCAACGUUUACGGCGUGGACUAC
This 240-nucleotide unclassified non-coding RNA is filed under the name uncultured Sporichthyaceae bacterium. Its description in RNAcentral is "contains 16S-23S intergenic spacer region". The record is from RNAcentral. Lineage: Bacteria; Bacillati; Actinomycetota; Actinomycetes; Sporichthyales; Sporichthyaceae.